RNAcentral lists this ribosomal RNA (407 nucleotides) under uncultured bacterium. RNAcentral's name for it is "partial 16S ribosomal RNA". It matches the Rfam family "Bacterial small subunit ribosomal RNA", at positions 28 to 526 of the family's 1533-position model. The record is from RNAcentral.
GACGAAUGCUGGUGGCGUGCCUAAUACAUGCAAGUAGAAUGCAGUUGCGAACGGGUGAGUAAUGCGUAGGUAACUGCCUCAUAGCGGGGGAUAACUAUUGGAAACGAUAGCUAAUACUGCAUACUGUGAGAUGGACCUGCGUUGUAUUAGUCAGUUGGUGAGGUAAAGGCUCACUAAGGCGACGAUACAUAGCCGACCUGAGAGGGUGGUCGGCACCACUGAGACGGGGACACGGCCCGGACUCCUACGGGAGGCAGCAGUAGGAAAUCUUCAGCAAUGGACGGAAGUCUGACCAAGCAACGCCGCGUGAGUGAAGAAGGUUUUCGAUUCGUAAGGCUCUGUUGUUAGAGAAACAGUAACUAACCAGAAAGGGACGGCUAACUACGUGCCAGCGGCCGCGGUAGUUC